AGCGGAGGAAAAGAAACCAACAGGGAUUGCCUCAGUAACGGCGAGUGAAGCGGCAAAAGCUCAAAUUUUAAAGCUGGCACCUUCGGUGUCCGCGUUGUAAUUUUGUGAGGCAUCUCCGGGUAGGGCGCCGGCCUAAGUUCCUUGGAACAGGACGUCAUAGAGGGUGAGAAUCCCGUGCUUGGCUGGCUGUCCCCGUCCAUGUGAGGUGUCUUCGACGAGUCGAGUUGUUUGGGAAUGCAGCUCAAAAUGGGUGGUAAAUUUCAUCUAAAGCUAAAUAUUGGUGGGAGACCGAUAGCGCACAAGUAGAGUGAUCGAAAGAUGAAAAGCACUUUGAAAAUAGAGUUAAAAAGUACGUGAAAUUGUUGAAAGGGAAGCGCUUGAGACCAGACUUCGGUGGGGAGUGAUCAGCUGUCCUUCUGGGCGGUGCACUUGCUCCCCUCCGGGCCAGCAUCGGUUGGGACGGCGGGAUAAAGGUCCCGGGAAUGUGGCUCCUCUCGGGGAGUGUUAUAGCCCGGGUGAAUGCCGCCAGCCCCGACCGAGGACCGCGCCUUCGGGCUAGGAUGCUUGGCAUAAUGGUCUUCAGCGACCCGUCU
This 593-nucleotide ribosomal RNA is filed under the name Morchella esculenta. RNAcentral describes it as "partial 28S ribosomal RNA". It matches the Rfam family "Eukaryotic large subunit ribosomal RNA", at positions 49 to 654 of the family's 3401-position model. Lineage: Eukaryota; Fungi; Ascomycota; Pezizomycetes; Pezizales; Morchellaceae. RNAcentral also lists the same sequence under 1 other name. The record is from RNAcentral.